CCUACGUGAGGCAGCAGUGGGGAAUAUUGCACAAUGGGGGAAACCCUGAUGCAGCGACGCCGCGUGAGCGAUGAAGUAUUUCGGUAUGUAACGCUCUAUCAGCAGGGAAGCAAAUGACGGUACCUGACUCAGAAGCCCCGGCUAACUACGUGCCAGCAGCAGCGGGAAGACGGAGGGGGCAAGCGUUAUCCGGAUGUACUGGGUGUAAAGGGAGCGUAGACGGCGGUGCAAGCCAGAUGUGAAAGCCCGGGGCGCAACCCCGGGACUGCAUUUGGAACUGUGCUGCUAGAGUGUCGGAGAGGCAGGCGGAAUUCCUAGUGUAGCGGUGAAAUGCGUAGAUAUUAGGAGGAACACCAGUGGCGAAGGCGGCCUGCUGGACGAUGACUGACGUUGAAGCUCGAAAGCGUGGGGAGCAAACAGGAUUAGAUACCCUUGUAGUC
RNAcentral lists this ribosomal RNA (440 nucleotides) under uncultured bacterium. RNAcentral describes it as "partial 16S ribosomal RNA". It matches the Rfam family "Bacterial small subunit ribosomal RNA", at positions 338 to 795 of the family's 1533-position model. The record is from RNAcentral.